UCUUCUGCAGUCUAACAUUUGAAAGCCUCGGUAUUACCAGAGGAAAUAUUGAAUGGCCAAUCCAAUAGUUGUCACUCAGGAUUUUUAUGUAGCCUAGUUUCCACCAUGUGUACAUGAAAUAUAUUUUUUCAGCCAUGGACAUAUCAGUGUAAAAAAAUAUAUAUCAUCUGUAUUAGUCUGUUUUCAUACUGCUUUAAAGAACUGCCCAAGACUGGGUAAUUUAUAAAGGAAAGAGGUUUAAUUGACUCACAGUUCAGCUUGGCUGGAGAGGCCUCAGGAAACGUACAAUCAUGGAGGAAGGUGAAGGGGAAGCAAGGCACCUUCUUUGUGUCUUACAUCCAGGUCAUACUGAUACAACAGGUGGGCUCCCACAACCUUGGGCAGCUCUUCCCCUGUGGCUUUGAAGGGUACAACCUCCCUCCUGGCUGUUUUCACAGGCUUGUGUUGAGUACCUGGCUUUUCCAGUCACACAGUGCAAGCUGUGGGUGGGUCUUCUGGGGUCUGGCAAAUGGAGACUCUCUUCUCACAGCUCCACUAGGUGAUGCCCCAGUGGGGACUCUGUGUGGGGGCUCCAACCCCACAUUUUCCUUCUGCACUGCCUUAGCAGAGGUUCUCAAUGAGGGCUCCACCCCUGCAGAAAACUUCUCUCUGGACAUCCAGGAGUUUGCAUAAAUCCUCUGAAAUCUAGCUGGAGGUUCCCAAACCUCAAUUCUUGACUUCUGUGCACCCGCAGGCCCAACACCAUGUGUAAGCUGCCACGGCUUGGGGCUUGCACCCUCUGAAGCAAU
Molecule: long non-coding RNA, 788 nt
Filed under: Pan troglodytes (chimpanzee)
Lineage: Eukaryota; Metazoa; Chordata; Mammalia; Primates; Hominidae
Description: long non-coding RNA NONPTRT000327
Source: RNAcentral